Molecule: ribosomal RNA, 253 nt
Filed under: uncultured bacterium
Lineage: Bacteria
Description: partial 16S ribosomal RNA
Rfam family: Bacterial small subunit ribosomal RNA
Source: RNAcentral
UACGAAGGGGGCUAGCGUUGUUCGGAAUCACUGGGCGUAAAGGGCGCGUAGGCGGCGCGACAAGUCAGGCGUGAAAGCCCCGGGCUCAACCCGGGAAUUGCGCUUGAUACUGUCGUGCUUGAGGCCGGGAGAGGAUGGCGGAAUUCCCAGUGUAGAGGUGAAAUUCGUAGAUAUUGGGAAGAAUACCGAUGGCGAAGGCAGCCCCCUGGGAUAACACUGACGCUCAUGCACGAAAGCGUGGGGAGCAAACGGG